UACGUAGGGUGCAAGCGUUGUCCGGAAUCAUUGGGCGUAAAGAGCGUGUAGGCGGUUUGUCGCGUCUGCUGUGAAAUCUCAAGGCUCAACCUUGAGCUUGCAGUGGGUACGGGCAGACUAGAGUGUGGUAGGGGAGACUGGAAUUCCUGGUGUAGCGGUGAAAUGCGCAGAUAUCAGGAGGAACACCGAUGGCGAAGGCAGGUCUCUGGGCCACUACUGACGCUGAGAAGCGAAAGCAUGGGGAGCGAACAGG
This 253-nucleotide ribosomal RNA is filed under the name uncultured bacterium. RNAcentral describes it as "partial 16S ribosomal RNA". It matches the Rfam family "Bacterial small subunit ribosomal RNA", at positions 524 to 776 of the family's 1533-position model. The record is from RNAcentral.